UGGAGCCUUUGCACGCCCUCUUGGGCUGCCCCGCGACUCAAAAGAAGGGGCUGCAAGUCACUAUCGAGUGGCAACAUAAUCGAAUUGCGAGGAUCUCCUAAAGCCUCUCGGUACCCCCCCUAACGGAAACGUUAGGGUAUGGUUAUAACCCGGGAGGAUAGUACAAUGGAUAACCUGCAGCGAAGCCCCUACAGCGUCAUGCCAGGGGGACCGUUCACAGACUAAGUGGUUAUGGGUAGCUACGGUUACUUGAGAUAUAGUCGGCUGGGCUAGGCAACUAGGCCCUAUCGCGUUCCGUAGGUGAACCUGCGGAAGGAUCAUUA
RNAcentral lists this ribosomal RNA (323 nucleotides) under Hymenoscyphus waikaia. RNAcentral's name for it is "partial 18S ribosomal RNA". The stretch from base 29 to 284 matches the Rfam family "Group I catalytic intron". Rfam says of the family: Group I catalytic introns are large self-splicing ribozymes. The record is from RNAcentral. Lineage: Eukaryota; Fungi; Ascomycota; Leotiomycetes; Helotiales; Helotiaceae.